Non-coding RNA from Osmia lignaria (orchard mason bee), 2108 nucleotides. NCBI's taxonomy places the organism in Eukaryota, Metazoa, Arthropoda, Insecta, Hymenoptera, Megachilidae. The record is from RefSeq and is a predicted model, not a curated record.
ACUGAGACACAUACUCAAGUGUAAAGAGCUAGCGAGGAGCGGAGCUCCUUGAGCAGGCCUGUAUUAGCAUAGCUCUGGCUAGACCAGAAACCGAUUGCGACCUGUAGGUAAAGUCCGCUCGUGUCUGAAGGUAUCGUACAAGCCACUGGAAUAUAGUUUUCCAGUACUUAGUGUAAUUUGGCAAAUUGUACAGAGUGUUGGCUGUAUUCGAAGAUUAAGUCGCGUUAUUAUUACUUACUAACUACUGAUCAUAUAUUUUCCACUGUAUUUCACUAUCUAGGGCGUACCUAUUAUAAUUUCUUAUUGUAUUUCAUAUUCUAGCCGCAUCUAUUGUUAUACUCAAAACAAUCAUAGUUAGUUUACUUACUUGAAUAAAAGAUAAUUUCAGUUUGAUACGUUAAUGUUGGAUUUCACUCCUUAACCGCACACCACACGAACCUAUAAUCCCAAAUUUCGUUCAUACGAGUCGCCUUCUUGGGGAACCGCUCUUCCUAUACGUCGGUGCAGUGACGUACCUAUCAUUGGGUCGUUACAAACCGGUAAACAUCGAAAGAAAAAUGGAUUUAAGAAGCUGCAGUAAGUGUUUCAUGAACCUUUCUUUUCAUCUUUAUUUCGUGAGUGUCAUUGACAAUUACAUUCCGUAAGCAUUUGUCAUAAAAAUAUUUUUUUCGACAUUUGUUUUGUUUCAUGUAUAUUUAUGCGAUAACUUGUGCAGAGAAAAUUUUUGUCUUCUGGAUCAUUUUUCCAUGAUACAUUGACACAAUACGUUUUUUUGUCAACUGGUUUAUUCGUAUUUUGUAAUUCAAUACAGUUUAAUACAUGUAAUUGUCAAUGAAUAUUCGUAAAUUGCUGGAGAAAUACAUUUAAAAUUUUUCUGCAAUAUUAUCCAUGUUUUUCAAUUUUUGUUUAGAAGUUAAAAGGGCGAAAUCGUUGGGGGCGGUGGUAAAUUCACAAGCGCAGCAAGAGCUGCAACAGCAACCCCAGCCGCAGCUACAGCUGCAAUAAAAACCGUUGUGUCAGCAGCAACAUUCCCAGCCGCUGCCGUUGUUGCAACUACAGAUGCUGCAACAGCAACCACUGCAAUAGCAGCAGCGGCAGCAGCAGCAACACUAUCAGCCGUACCAGCCGCUGCAGCUGCAAAUGCUACAGCAACAUCCGCAACAUGUUGGGUAUACCACGUACAGGUCCAUGAAGCGGCGGCUGCUGCGGUUCUACCGUAACAAUCACUACGCGGGGGAAUUCGCAAGGAGGAUCGUCAAGGGAAGGGAAAUCUCAGGGUGGAGGGUGUGUAGGAAGGUUCGUGUGCGUUACGCGAUUGAGGGAAAUGGUUCAAGGGAAUCUUUAAGGGGAGGAACGGGUUAUCGCGGGCGCAACUCGCGGAAUUACAAUGCGCGGACGCGGAAAUUGCCGUUACCGGACGCAGAUCUACAAUUUUUAGUAAUCGGAAGGACUCACCAAUCGCCGUGCACGUUCCACACACACAACUCGCACGCUAUUCUACAAACCACCUCGCAAAUCUCUGUGAUACUUUCUACUCUCAAAAUCGCUCUCGGUACUUUCGCUAUCUAAAUGCUUUCGUCGCUCAAUGCUAAUUGCUGGCUCCUCGUCGCAGCAGCGGCGACGAGCCCGUUACAAGGAAUUUUUGGGGAGGGGAUGAGGUUAAAUUGGGACAUCUUCCGGGUCGAGGAUUGAUCUGUUAUCGAUCGGCCGGUAAUCGGAAUCGAUGGGGCUGACGGAGACUCGACGGUGGUGGCUGCGGGCUGUGGUUUUCGGGUUCGGCGACAGAUGGCUCCAUUCGACUGCUUUUCUGCCGUUGUUGGGCUGGUGGACCUUUGUCGUAGGAAGAUUAGCGUUACGACGUCCUAUGGACCGAUUUAGAGAGGUAUUAGAAAGCGAUUUUGAGAGUAUAAUAAAGAGUUUCAGAGCGGUAUAGAGUAGCAACUGUGAAGAGUGUGUGAAAUGUGCACGGCAAUUGCGAGCCCGGCAGGAUAUACCGCCACCAACAUCGGCAUCUCCCGGAGCCGCGCCCGGCGGCCCACCUCUACCACCUUUGUAAUCAACUUUCGCUAUUUUCUCUCUUUGAAUAAAUAGUUCUAUUUUUAUACUAA